UACAGAGGGGGCGAGCGUUGUUCGGAAUUACUGGGCGUAAAGGGCGCGUAGGCGGCCAACUAAGUCAGACGUGAGAUCCCUCGGCUCAACCGGGGAACUGCGUCUGAUACUGGAUGGCUUGAAUUCGGGAGAGGGAUGCGGAAUUCCAGGUGUAGCGGUGAAAUGCGUAGAUAUCUGGAGGAACACCGGUGGCGAAGGCGGCAUCCUGGACCGAGAUUGACGCUGAUGCGCGAAAGCCAGGGGAGCAAACGGG
Molecule: ribosomal RNA, 253 nt
Filed under: uncultured bacterium
Lineage: Bacteria
Description: partial 16S ribosomal RNA
Rfam family: Bacterial small subunit ribosomal RNA
Source: RNAcentral